Molecule: non-coding RNA, 32 nt
Filed under: Mus musculus (house mouse)
Lineage: Eukaryota; Metazoa; Chordata; Mammalia; Rodentia; Muridae
Source: RNAcentral
UGCCUUUAUGGUGUUACCCACCCAUACACCCA